RNAcentral lists this ribosomal RNA (469 nucleotides) under uncultured bacterium. RNAcentral describes it as "bacterial SSU rRNA". It matches the Rfam family "Bacterial small subunit ribosomal RNA", at positions 28 to 507 of the family's 1533-position model. The record is from RNAcentral.
GAUGAACGCUAGCGGCAGGCCUAAUACAUGCAAGUCGAACGGUGUCUUCGGACAUAGUGGCGCACGGGUGCGUAACACGUAUGCAACCUACCUUACAUUGGGGGAUAGCCUUUCGAAAGGGAGAUUAAUACCGCAUAAGACAGUAACUAGGCAUCUAGUAGCUGUUAAAGAUUUAUCGAUGUAAGCUGGGCAUGCGUCCAAUUAGCUAGUUGGUGAGGUAACGGCUCACCAAGGCAAUGAUUGGUAGGGGAACUGAGAGGUCAAUCCCCCACACUGGCACUGAGAUACGGGCCAGACUCCUACGGGAGGCAGCAGUAGGGAAUAUUGGGCAAUGGACGCAAGUCUGACCCAGCCAUGCCGCGUGCAGGAUGAUGGCGUUAUGCGUUGUAAACUGCUUUUAUACAGGAAGAAACGACUCUUGCGAGAGGCAUUGACGGUACUGUAUGAAUAAGCACCGGCUAACUCCGUG